CCAGACUCCUACGGGAGGCAGCAGUAGGGAAUCUUCGGCAAUGGGGGCAACCCUGACCGAGCAACGCCGCGUCGACAGCAGCCGCGGUAAUACGUAGGGGGCAAGCGUUAUCCGGAUUUACUGGGUGUAAAGGGAGCGUAGACGGGACAGCAAGUCUGAUGUGAAAGGCGGGGGCUCAACCCCCCGAACUGCAUUGGAAACUGUUGACCUGGAGUGCCGGAGAGGUAAGCGGAAUUCCUAGUGUAGCGGUGAAAUGCGUAGAUAUUAGGAGGAACACCAGUGGCGAAGGCGGCUUACUGGACGGUAACUGACGUUGAGGCUCGAAAGCGU
This 330-nucleotide ribosomal RNA is filed under the name uncultured bacterium. RNAcentral's name for it is "bacterial SSU rRNA". It matches the Rfam family "Bacterial small subunit ribosomal RNA", at positions 331 to 762 of the family's 1533-position model. The record is from RNAcentral.